AUGAUGGAGCCAAACUUGGAAGAUUCUGAUAUCGAGCCUGCUCCCAAGCUCAUCGAGGUGUUUCUACAGAACUGCAAAGGUCAUGUAGAUCAAUGGGUUGAGCCUUACCUCUGGCUUACAAUUGAUCGGUUGCGCCGCUCAAAACCAUAUUUGAAAUGUCUCCUUGUACAAGUGAUUGCUAAUGCGUUCUACUAUAACCCUUCGUUGACACUCGCGACUUUACAUAAACUUGGAGUUGCAACAGAAAUUUUUAACCUUUGGUUUGGUAUGUUACAACAAGUAAAAAAUAAUGGCAUGCGAGCCAAUUUUAGGAGAGAACAUGAUAAGAAGAUUUGUUGCCUGGGGCUGACUUCACUUAUUGGCCUUCCAGCAGAUCAUAUUCCAGUAGAAGCUCUAGAUGGCAUUUUCAAAGCAACACUUGAUCUCCUUGCUGCCUACAAAGAUCAAAUUGCAGAACCGAAGAAGCAAAAUGAGGACGAUGUUGAUGAUAUGGAUGGCUUUGACGCUGAUGAAGAUGAUGAAGAAGUUGAAUCAGACAAGGAGAUGGGUCUUGACGAUGAAGACGGCGAUGAACUAAACAAUCUUCAUCUUCAGAGACUAGCUGCAGAGGCUAGAGGCUUCCAGCCAGCUGAUGAAGAUGAUGAUUCAGAUGAUGAUUUCAGUGACGAUGAGGAGCUGCAAUCACCGAUUGAUGAGGUGGAUCCGUUCGUUUUAUUUGUUGAAAGUGUCAAAGGUUUGCAAGCAUCUGAUCUGGCCAGGUUCCAGAACCUCGUGCAAACUCUUGAUUUCCGAUAUCAGGCGCUUGCUAAUGGCAUAGGUCAAUAUGCUGAAGAAAGAAGAGUUGAGAUCGAAAGAGAAAAUUGGAGAAGGCAAAUACACAGUGAUGAUUCAUGA
This 894-nucleotide ribosomal RNA is filed under the name Triticum aestivum (bread wheat). RNAcentral describes it as "partial small subunit ribosomal RNA". Lineage: Eukaryota; Viridiplantae; Streptophyta; Magnoliopsida; Poales; Poaceae. The record is from RNAcentral.